RNAcentral lists this unclassified non-coding RNA (1109 nucleotides) under Hevea brasiliensis (rubber tree). Lineage: Eukaryota; Viridiplantae; Streptophyta; Magnoliopsida; Malpighiales; Euphorbiaceae. The record is from RNAcentral.
GAAAUUUCUUUUCAGCAAAUCGAACACAUUUCUAUUUUCACUCGUUUCCAUAAAUGGAGCAACUGAAACUUAAAAAAGACAAACAAAGCAAAGGAACAACAACAAUGGUCAAUGGAUGGUUGUGGAUUAUGGGUCUUUUCAAUUGAAGCCUAGAAUUAGUGUGCAAAAAUCAGCAUCUGGCUUUCAAUCCUAUGUUAAUGUCUGAAAGAGCCCAUCUUCUGAAAUCUGUACCUGGCAUGUCAUGUCGUUGGUCGACUCUUUCAUGUGAUUGUUGGUGAGCUGAAUUCGAGAGGAAAAUCCAACUGGCGUGGAGAAUAUGGAGCAAGUCGGAAGCAACCAUGGAGUCGAAGAUCUAGAUUUCCAUCUGGGGAACUGGAGUUGAUAAAGAAAAGAAUGGAAGAGAUAAUGAAGAAUAUGUAGGGAAGACUUAAAAAGCUUUGUCAUUUCUGGAUUUUGCGUGAGAUAAUGUUUAUAGCUGAGAGAGAGGUUUCUGUUUGGGGAGUGAGAAAGUGUAGGAAAGCAGAGAGAAAAUGAGGUAUGAUGGUAGGAAUUAAUGAAUAGAGUUUUUUGUUAAGAAAGAAAUGAUUCAGGAAAAAGAGAGAGAAAUAUGUCAUAAUUUAACCUUUUUGUUAAGAGAUGGACUUUUAUUAGUAAUAAUCUAAAAAUUGGAACCACUUGCUGACAAUAUCAGAAAAAUUAAUUUUUAAUGUGCCAUGUCAGUAGUUCUAACGCUGUUAGUUAUUUUGUCAUUCAAGUGUUAACGGCACAAAACCACGUGCUAAAUUGCAACAAAAAAUUCUUUAGACCAUGAGUGCUAAAAGCGCAAAUCACAAAUACCUAAGUACACUUUCCCCUUUAAAUAUUUUAGCUUUUCGUUUUAAUUGAAAUUUAUAUUUUGUGCAUUUUUCUUAAAAUGCAUUUGCUUGUAAUAAUUUUUUUCUUCUGGAAAAUCAUUAAAUCUUUGGUCUUAUCAUUAGUCUUCGAAAAUGAUAUUUAGGAUCAUUUUUAUUCAUAUUAGUGGGCCAUCUGGAUACCUUUUCCUUCCACCUUUUUCCUUCCACUGAUCACAGGUUUCCGUUGUGAUAGGAUGAACGUGAACUGAAAAGACA